UUUUUCUAGGACGAGCUUGCUGUGGCUGGUUUUCGUGAGGCAAACUUGGCUGUUCUUGUCAUUGGAGGAGCUCAGGUUCUCACUGUCACUGGGAAUGGCUGCUGUUCUCAUCAGCGGAGGUAUGGUCUUCUCCUUGAGCAUUGCUUCCUGGCUCUAGUGCAGAUCCCUCAGCCUAGUGGCACAAAUCCUUUACUCCACCAGCACAGGCUUUCUAGCUUCCACCACUUGCCUUUGGGCCUUCCUGGUGCAGAUCCUUACUACGGACUUGCAUGAGACACUGCCGUGGGCUCUAGGCCUCUGUCAGGACAUUGCCUUGGACUCCCGGCCUUCAGCUGGACUUGUGUGGGGCAUAGCUGUGGGAUCCAGGCCCUCGGCUGGAUUCUUUGGGGCUCUAAUGCACAGAUAGAUCUCUUGCACUCUUCUGCAUUUGACAUUUUGGGAAGACCAGGAGAAGGCGCCAUGUGCCCUUUUGGACUGCUGAGUCCUAGUGGUCACUAGAGGGCGCAUGCUCUCACCUUUCUUGAGCUGAUGUAGCCCCAGAGGGUGCCAGAGGCCAGAGGCCAUGCAGGACAGUGGCCCACAUCUCACCCUCCGGACCGACCUCCUGGAGGUGCCUAUGCCUGCUGUGUAACUUUCCUUGUUCUGACCAGCUACUGCAGCUAAAAAAAAAAUCCCAG
This 677-nucleotide long non-coding RNA is filed under the name Heterocephalus glaber (naked mole-rat). RNAcentral describes it as "lncRNA (ENSHGLG00000048001.1)". Lineage: Eukaryota; Metazoa; Chordata; Mammalia; Rodentia; Bathyergidae. The record is from RNAcentral.